This 253-nucleotide ribosomal RNA is filed under the name uncultured bacterium. Its description in RNAcentral is "partial 16S ribosomal RNA". It matches the Rfam family "Bacterial small subunit ribosomal RNA", at positions 524 to 776 of the family's 1533-position model. The record is from RNAcentral.
GACAGAGGGUGCAAACGUUGUUCGGAAUUACUGGGCGUAAAGCGCGUGUAGGCUGCUCGGAAAGUCGGAUGUGAAAGCCCUGGGCUCAACCUAGGAAGUGCAUUCGAAACUUCCGAGCUGGAGUACUGGAGAGGAAGGCGGAAUUCUCAGUGUAGAGGUGAAAUUCGUAGAUAUCGAGAGGAACACCGGUGGCGAAGGCGGCCUUCUGGACAGUAACUGACGCUGAGACGCGAAAGCGUGGGGAGCAAACAGG